RNAcentral lists this ribosomal RNA (253 nucleotides) under uncultured bacterium. RNAcentral describes it as "partial 16S ribosomal RNA". It matches the Rfam family "Bacterial small subunit ribosomal RNA", at positions 524 to 776 of the family's 1533-position model. The record is from RNAcentral.
UACGAACUGUGCGAACGUUAUUCGGAAUCACUGGGCUUAAAGGGUGCGUAGGCGGCGAAUCAAGUCUGUUGUGAAAUCUCUCGGCUCAACCGGGAAAGUGCAGUGGAAACUGAUUUGCUAGAGUAAGACAGGGGUGUAUGGAACUUCCAGUGGAGCGGUGAAAUGUGUUGAUAUUGGAAGGAACACCGGUGGCGAAAGCGAUACACUGGGUCUUAACUGACGCUGAGGCACGAAAGCCAGGGGAGCGAACGGG